CCUACGGGUGGCAGCAGUGGGGAAUAUUGGGCAAUGGGCGCAAGCCUGACCCAGCAAUGCCGCUUGAAGGAAGAAGGCUUUCGGGUUGUAAACUUCUUUGACAGGGGACGAGCAGAAGACGGUACCCUGACAACAAGCCACGGCUAACUCCGGGCCAGCAGCCGCGGUAAUGCGGAGGUGGCAAGCGUUGUCCGGCUUUACUGGGUGUAAAGGGCGUGUAGCCGGGAAGGCAAGUCAGAUGUGAAAUCCGGGGGCUCAACCCCCGAACUGCAUUUGAAACUGUUUGUCUUGAGUACGGGAGAGGCAGGCGGAAUUCCUUGUGUAGCGGUGAAAUGCAUAGAUAUAAGGAGGAACACCAGUGGCGAAGGCGGUCUGCUGGACAGCAACUGACGGUGAGGCGCGAAAGCGUGGGGAGUAAACAGGAUUAGAUACCCCUGUAGUC
This 442-nucleotide ribosomal RNA is filed under the name uncultured bacterium. RNAcentral's name for it is "partial 16S ribosomal RNA". It matches the Rfam family "Bacterial small subunit ribosomal RNA", at positions 338 to 795 of the family's 1533-position model. The record is from RNAcentral.